GCAGAAUUCAGUGAAUCAUCGAAUCUUUGAACGCACAUUGCGCCCGCCAGUAUUCUGGCGGGCAUGCCUGUUCGAGCGUCAUUUCAACCCUCAAGCUCUCCCGCUUGGUGUUGGGGCACUGCGGUUCGCCGCAGGCUCUGAAAUUCAUUGGCGGGCUCGCUAUAACUCCGAGCGUAGUAAUUCACCUCGUUCUGGAAGAGUGGCGGGCACUGGCCGUAAAACCCCCAUAUUUUACAAGGUUGACCUCGGAUCAGGUAGGAAUACCCGCUGAACUUAAGCAUAUCAAUAAGCGGAGGAAAAGAAACCAACAGGGAUUGCCCUAGUAGCGGCGAGCGAAGCGGCAACAGCUCAAAUUUGAAAUCUGGCUUCGGCCCGAGUUGUAAUUUGUAGAGGAUGCUUUUGGCGCGGCUCCUUCUGAGUCCACUGGAACGUGGCGCCACAGAGGGUGAGAGCCCCGUAUAGAUGGAAGCCAAGCCUGUGUAAAGCUCCUUCGACGAGUCGAGUAGUUUGGGAAUGCUGCUCUAAAUGGGAGGUAAAUGUCUUCUAAAGCUAAAUACCGGCCAGAGACCGAUAGCGCACAAGUAGAGUGAUCGAAAGAUGAAAAGCACUUUGAAAAGAGGGUUAAAUAGCACGUGAAAUUGUUGAAAGGGAAGCGCUUAUGACCAGACUUGUGCCGGGUUGAUCAUCCAGUGUUCUCACUGGUGCACUCUGCCCGGCUCAGGCCAGCAUCGGUUCUGGAGGGGGCAUAAAGGCCGCGGGAACGUAGCUCCUCCGGGAGUGUUAUAGCCCGUAGUGUAAUACCCCCACUGGGACCGAGGACCGCGCUCUGCAAGGAUG
Molecule: ribosomal RNA, 837 nt
Filed under: uncultured Sordariales
Lineage: Eukaryota; Fungi; Ascomycota; Sordariomycetes; Sordariales
Description: eukaryotic LSU rRNA
Rfam family: Eukaryotic large subunit ribosomal RNA (bases 241-837)
Source: RNAcentral